This 562-nucleotide ribosomal RNA is filed under the name uncultured bacterium. RNAcentral describes it as "partial 16S ribosomal RNA". It matches the Rfam family "Bacterial small subunit ribosomal RNA", at positions 355 to 1375 of the family's 1533-position model. The record is from RNAcentral.
UGGGGAAUAUUGGACAAUGGGCGAAAGCCUGAUCCAGCCAUGCCGCGUGAGUGAUGAAGGCCCUAGGGUUGUAAAGCUCUUUUGUGCGGGAAGAUAAUGACGGUACCGCAAGAAUAAGCCCCGGCUAACUUCGUGCCAGCAGCCGCGGUAAUACGAAGGGGGCUAGCGUUGCUCGGAAUCACUGGGCGUAAAGGGUGCGUAGGCGGGUUUCUAAGUCAGAGGUGAAAGCCUGGAGCUCAACUCCAGAACUGCCUUUGAUACUGGAAGUCUUGAGUAUGGCAGAGGUGAGUGGAACUGCGAGUGUAGAGGUGAAAUUCGUAGAUAUUCGCAAGAACACCAGUGGCGAAGGCGGCUCACUGGGCCAUUACUGACGCUGAGGCACGAAAGCGUGGGGAGCAAAACAGGAUUAGAUACCCUGGUAGUCCACGCCGUAAACGAUGAAUGCCAGCCGUUAGUGGGUUUACUCACUAGUGGCGCAGCUAACGCUUUAAGCAUUCCGCCUGGGGAGUACGGUCGCAAGAUUAAAAACUCAAAUGAAUUGACGGGGUCAUAGCUGUUUCCU